This 254-nucleotide ribosomal RNA is filed under the name uncultured bacterium. RNAcentral's name for it is "partial 16S ribosomal RNA". It matches the Rfam family "Bacterial small subunit ribosomal RNA", at positions 524 to 776 of the family's 1533-position model. The record is from RNAcentral.
UACGUAGGUGACAAGCGUUAUCCGGAAUUAUUGGGCGUAAAGCGCCCGCAGGCGGCUGUUCAAGUCUGACGUGAAAUCGCUCGGCUUAACUGGGCGGGGUCGUUGGAAACUGAAUAGCUUGAGGCAAGGAGAGGGGCGUGGAAUUCCCGGUGUAGUGGUGGAAUGCGUAGAUAGUCGGGAGGAACACCAGUGGCGAAGGCGGCUCGCUGGGCCGGAACUGACGCUGAGGAGCGAAAGCGUGGGGAGCGAACAGG